AUUCCAGCUCCAAUAGCGUAUAUUAAAGUUGUUGCAGUUAGAACGCUCGUAGUCGGAUUUCGGGGCGGGCCGACCGGUCUGCCGAUGGGUACGCACUGGUCGGCGCGUCCUUCCUUCCGGAGACCGUGCCUACUCUUAACUGAGCGGGGGCGGGAGACGGAUCGUUUACUUUGAAAAAAUCAGAGUGUUUCAAGCAGGCAGCUCGCUCUUGCAUGGAUUAGCAUGGGAUAAUGAAAUAGGACUUUGGUGCUAUUUUGUUGGUUUCGAACACCGAAGUAAUGAUUAACGGGGACAGUCAGGGGCACUCGUAUUCCGCCGAGAGAGGUGAAAUUCUCAGACCAGCGGAAGACGAACCACUGCGAAAGCAUUUGCCAGGGAUGUUUUCAUUG
This 389-nucleotide ribosomal RNA is filed under the name Chrysochromulina sp. RNAcentral's name for it is "partial small subunit ribosomal RNA". It matches the Rfam family "Eukaryotic small subunit ribosomal RNA", at positions 582 to 975 of the family's 1831-position model. Lineage: Eukaryota; Haptophyta; Prymnesiales; Chrysochromulinaceae. The record is from RNAcentral.